RNAcentral lists this ribosomal RNA (493 nucleotides) under uncultured bacterium. RNAcentral's name for it is "bacterial SSU rRNA". It matches the Rfam family "Bacterial small subunit ribosomal RNA", at positions 17 to 504 of the family's 1533-position model. The record is from RNAcentral.
UCCUGGCUCAGAUUGAACGCUGGCGGCAUGCUUUACACAUGCAAGUCGAACGGCAGCGGGGGCUUCGGCCUGCCGGCGAGUGGCGAACGGGUGAGUAAUGCAUCGGAACGUGCCCAUGUCGUGGGGGAUAACGUAGCGAAAGCUACGCUAAUACCGCAUACGCCCUGAGGGGGAAAGCGGGGGAUCUUCGGACCUCGCGCGAUUGGAGCGGCCGAUGUCGGAUUAGCUAGUUGGUGGGGUAAAGGCCUACCAAGGCGACGAUCCGUAGCUGGUCUGAGAGGAUGAUCAGCCACACUGGGACUGAGACACGGCCCAGACUCCUACGGGAGGCAGCAGUGGGGAAUUUUGGACAAUGGGGGCAACCCUGAUCCAGCCAUGCCGCGUGAGUGAAGAAGGCCUUCGGGUUGUAAAGCUCUUUCAGUUGGGAAGAAACGGUGCGCUCUAACAUAGCGUGCUAAUGACGGUACCGACAGAAGAAGCACCGGCUAACUAC